CCUACGGGAGGCAGCAGUGAGGAAUAUUGGUCAAUGGCCGGAAGGCUGAACCAGCCAAGCCGCGUGAGGGAGGAAGGCGCAGAGCGUCGCAGACCUCUUUUGCCGGGGGACAAAAGGCCGGACUCGUCCGGUCCUGAGGGUACCCGGAGAAAAAGCACCGGCUAACUCCGUGCCAGCAGCCGCGGUAAUACGGAGGGGGCGAGCGUGAAUCGGAAUUACUGGGCGUAAACCGCUCGGAGGAGGGAUGUCAAGGUCAGGGUGAAAUCCCCGCGCUCAAGGUUGGAACUGCCUUUGAAACUGGCAAACUGGAGUGUGUGAGAGGAUAGUGGAAUUCCAGGUGUAGGAGUGAAAUCCGUAGAUAUCUGGAGGAACAUCAGUGGCGAAGGCGACUAUCUGGCACAUAACUGACGCUGAGGAGCGAAAGCGUGGGUAGCAAACAGGAUUAGAUACCCCUGUAGUC
This 460-nucleotide ribosomal RNA is filed under the name uncultured bacterium. RNAcentral's name for it is "partial 16S ribosomal RNA". It matches the Rfam family "Bacterial small subunit ribosomal RNA", at positions 338 to 795 of the family's 1533-position model. The record is from RNAcentral.